RNAcentral lists this ribosomal RNA (29 nucleotides) under Colletotrichum truncatum. Its description in RNAcentral is "partial 18S ribosomal RNA". Lineage: Eukaryota; Fungi; Ascomycota; Sordariomycetes; Glomerellales; Glomerellaceae. The record is from RNAcentral.
UUCGCACUGCUGACAGAAGGAGGGACAUU